Homo sapiens (human) is the source of this 2355-nucleotide long non-coding RNA. The record is from Ensembl. Lineage: Eukaryota; Metazoa; Chordata; Mammalia; Primates; Hominidae.
ACCAUAAUCCUUUCCUUUGCAGGAGGUGUCUCCAUUUGUGAUUAUACACAUAAUUCUGUGAUUAUUUGAUAAAUUAAUGAAUCAUUGAAUUAAUAAAUGAACGAGCAGUUGAAUAGCAAGGUCAGAUGGAGGCUAGGCUAGAAUCAACACAGAAAACUGAGAAAGAAGUCCACAAGGCUGAGAAUUUGGGAGGCUUGCAAAGCAAUCAGAUCUCUAGAAAGGGAGAUACAGCAGAGAUGCAAGAAAAGCCCACGUAUGGCUCCUGCAUAUGAUUUUUUUCGAGAGACUCAGAUGUCUUCAGUAAAUCCUCUUUCUGUCUGGACUUAUCUGAGUCACUUUCUAUUCUCUGCAGCUGAAUGUUUCCUAGGUUUCUACACUCCAGACAUCUCUCUGCAAAACGAGAUUGAAAGAGACUCAGUCUUCUACCCAGAAGAUGCAGUGGCCUCCAUGAGUACACCACAGCUGAAUCUACACUGACCCAACAUCCAGGAGAAGAAUGCAAAUACAGCUCCCCAGCCAGCAGAUUGGCCUUUAUUUUAUUUUUUUGAGAUGGAGUCUCGCUCUGUCGCCCAGGCUAGAGUGCAGUGGCACAAUCUCGUCUCAUUGCAACCUCUGCCUCCCAGGUUCAAGCGAUUCUCCUGCCUCAGCCUCCCAAGUAGCUGGGAUUACAGGCGCCCGCCAUCAUGCCCGGCUAAUUUUUGUAUUUUUGUAGAGACAGGGUUUCACCAUGUUGGCCAGUCUGGUCUUGAACUCCUGACCUCAGGUGAUCUGCCCGCCUCGGCCUUCCAAAGUGCCGGGAUUACAGGCAUGAGCCACCUUGCCCGGCCCAGAUUGACCUUUAAAAACAUGAAUGUUGGAAAGCAUCCUGGGGACAGAAUGAACGAUUUGCAUCACCACUGAACUCAGGCCUGAGUGAAAGACAGUCUGGCUUCUGCAGUGUGUCAUGGAUGUCCCAGUUCUCCAAUAUGAGAGGGAACUGCACCUUUCUUCCAGGCAAGUCUGAAGGCUGGAGAGAAACGGUGGUACCAGAGGCUACCCCUUGGAUCUCAUUAGCUAAGUGGACCUGAUGACAGGUGUUGCUGGCACUCCUCAGGAGGAAUUCAGGUUGCAUCCUUCACUGCAGGAACAAGUCAUUCACACCAGAUCCAUCUCCUUGUACCACUCUGCCACUCUCUGACGGGGCCGCCGCCAAGUGAGGUGGAGAUGCUUGGACCCCAGGAUAUCAUUCCACUCUAAUAUGACUCAAAGAGAUCUGCUAAAGGAAAGUUUUCUCUGACCUUAUGAAAAAGAGGCACUUGAAGAGAAACUGUCUGCUCCCACACUGGCUCCUGCUUCCUGCCCCUGACCAUGGUGUAAGGAUGUGAUGAUUGAAGCUAUGACAGCUAUUUUGUGACCAUGAGGGCAACGCCAAGAGAAUCACAGGGAGGCCAGCCCAGAGAUGUGACAUUGUUGAGCUGCUGAACCAGGACCAGCAUCUUCAUACCUCUAGACAUAUUGUUAUGUGAGAAGAACACAUCCUUGCUUAUUUAAGACAACUUUGUUACAUUUCCUGUUACUUGUAGCUACAAAAAAAAAUUUUUCUUUUUUUUUUUUUUUUAGACGGAGUCUUGCUCUGUUGCCAGGCUGGAGUGUAGUGGCGUGAUUUCUGCUCACUGCAACCAACCACGCCCGGCUAAUUUUCGUAUUUUAGUAGAGACAGGGUUUCACCAUGUUGGCUAGGAUGGUCUCGAUUUCCUGACCUCAUGAUCUGCUCACUUCAGCCUCCCAAAGUGCUGGGAUUACAGGCAUGAGCCACCACUCCCGGCUGCUACAAACAUUCUUAAUUGAUAUAAGGCAUGAAUCAAGCAGCUGAGUCCACAGAAGGGAAAAGGAAAAGUAGCAUUACCUCUGAACCUACUUCCAACUACACUAAGAACUACUUCCAACUAAACCCCUUGCCUGAUCCCCAUGCUCCGUUCCAUGUCAGUCUUCUCUAGUCUUCUCUCAUUCUGUAUUCCAGCCACAGCAGCAGUCUUUCCGUUUCUCCAGGGCAUCAUACUAGCCCUUGCCUCAGGGCCUUCACACAAGCUGUGCCCUCCAUCUGAAAUGCUCAUCCCCUGCUCUUUGCCUGUCUGUCUUCUUCACAUACUGUCAUCAUUCAGGUCUCAGAUCAAAUGCUACCUCCUCCCAGAAGCUUUCCCUGAUAAUCCAUUUUAAAGCAGCCCUAAUUUUCUGCCUGGGACAUAUUUCUCUCUGGACUAUAUUUAUGUGUUGACUUCUUCACUUUCAGUCUUUCCAAUCAACCCUGUGAUCUAACAAUAGCAGCUCUGUGAAUUCAUUUGCCAUUAUUUUCCCCAUGUUUAGCACAUGCCUGAU